Molecule: ribosomal RNA, 419 nt
Filed under: uncultured bacterium
Lineage: Bacteria
Description: bacterial SSU rRNA
Rfam family: Bacterial small subunit ribosomal RNA
Source: RNAcentral
AUGAACGCUGGCGGCGUGCUUAACACAUGCAAGUCGAGCGAAGCGCUAAAGCGGAUUUCUUCGGAUUGAAGUUUUAGUGACUGAGCGGCGGACGGGUGAGUAACGCGUGGGUAACCUGCCUCAUACAGGGGGAUAACAGUUGGAAACGGCUGCUAAUACCGCAUAAGCGCACAGUACCGCAUGGUACGGUGUGAAAAACUCCGGUGGUAUGAGAUGGACCCGCGUCUGAUUAGGUAGUUGGUGGGGUAACGGCCUACCAAGCCGACGAUCAGUAGCCGACCUGAGAGGGUGACCGGCCACAUUGGGACUGAGACACGGCCCAAACUCCUACGGGAGGCAGCAGUGGGGAAUAUUGCACAAUGGGGGAAACCCUGAUGCAGCGACGCCGCGUGAGCGAAGAAGUAUUUCGGUAUGUAAAG